CCUACGGGUGGCAGCAGUGGGGAAUAUUGCACAAUGGGCGCAAGCCUGAUGCAACCAUGCCGCGUGUAUGAAGAAGGCCUUCGGGUUGUAAAGUACUUUCAGCGGGGAGGAAGGUGUUGUGGUUAAUAACCACAGCAAUUGACGUUACCCGCAGAGGAAGCACCGGCUAGCUCCGUGCCAGCAGCCGCGGUAAUACGGAGGGUGCAAGCGUUAAUCGGAAUUACUGGGCGUAAAGCGCACGCAGGCGGUCUGUCAAGUCGGAUGUGAAAUCCCCGGGCUCAACCUGGGAACUGCAUUCGAAACUGGCAGGCUUGAGUCUUGUAGAGGGGGGUAGAAUUCCAGGUGUAGCGGUGAAAUGCGUAGAGAUCUGGAGGAAUACCGGUGGCGAAGGCGGCCCCCUGGACAAAGACUGACGCUCAGGUGCAAAAGCGUGGGGAGCAAACAGGAUUAGAUACCCCAGUAGUC
RNAcentral lists this ribosomal RNA (465 nucleotides) under uncultured bacterium. RNAcentral describes it as "bacterial SSU rRNA". It matches the Rfam family "Bacterial small subunit ribosomal RNA", at positions 338 to 795 of the family's 1533-position model. The record is from RNAcentral.